Apodemus sylvaticus (European woodmouse) is the source of this 591-nucleotide long non-coding RNA. RefSeq lists it as uncharacterized. NCBI's taxonomy places the organism in Eukaryota, Metazoa, Chordata, Mammalia, Rodentia, Muridae. The record is from RefSeq and is a predicted model, not a curated record. The transcript is spliced from 3 exons.
CAGACCCCUGGGAACCGCGAGCCCAGAUGGACCUUUCCUCCCUUAAGUUACAUUUGCUCAGAGCCUGUCACUAUGAGUCAUCAUCUCAGUAUCCAGCCGCAUCUGGAGCAUCGGCAAACAAUGUCCGCGCUUUCCGGGACAGCCCAGGGACCAGAUGAUGAUUGGAUGCCUCAAGGCCUAGCUGCAAGCACAAGCCAGCAUUCUGAAAGCCGUGCUGGGCAGAGGCUCACUUCAGGGGAGGAGGUUGCUGCCUUAGGGAGGACAUCCCUGAGCCUUCUCUUGGUACCGUUCCUGGAUCCUUGGGAAGGAAUCAAGAUGUCUUCAUCCUGAUGAAGUCAGUCCUGAUUCAGAUCCUGAUGUCAGUCAGGAUCUUUUGUAAACACCCGAACCUCUCUCUGCUUCACUGCAGUUCACAACACUGGGAAUUACAGCAGCCAGCGUGCAGAGCAAAGAGGGCUGUGAAAUUCAGUGUCACACAUGGCAAACUUUUCUCUGGAACCUUUUCAUAUCAUGACCUUUGUGUGACAUUGACGUGUCUUUGGAGCGUGUCGUCUUCCAAGUUGUACAAAGCAGCUGAACCAGCUGGGACAA